RNAcentral lists this ribosomal RNA (305 nucleotides) under uncultured bacterium. Its description in RNAcentral is "bacterial SSU rRNA". It matches the Rfam family "Bacterial small subunit ribosomal RNA", at positions 335 to 637 of the family's 1533-position model. The record is from RNAcentral.
UUGCCUACGGGGGGCAGCAGUGAGGAAUAUUGGUCAAUGGCCGAGAGGCUGAACCAGCCAAGUCGCGUGAGGGAUGACGGCCCUACGGGUUGUAAACCUCUUUUGUCGGGGAGCAAGACCCGCCUCGUGCAGGCGGAGCGAGAGUACCCGAAGAAAAAGCAUUGGCUAACUCCGUGCCAGCAGCCGCGGUAAUACGGAGGAUGCGAGCGUUAUCCGGAUUUAUUGGGUUUAAAGGGUGCGUAGGCGGACGGUCAAGUCAGCGGUAAAAAUGCGGUGCUCAACGCCGUACAGCCGUUGAAACUGGC